GUCCGGCAGUUUUCUCAGAGCCAAAGGAACCAAUCUGAAUGAUGGUGCACUAUAACAAGGAACCCUGACUUUCCAGUUGCAGUGCAACUUUGGAACUAAAAAAUGGCUGCCAUCACCAUGGAAACCGAAAAAUAAUGGAAAAUUCCAGUUUUUGGUUUUGAUGAAUUAUUUGGAAAUGCUUUAACUUAAAAUCAUUAUAUUUUGAUACAAUGUAGGUGCCGGGCAUAUACUGGUUUUGGAUGAUUUUGGCAAUCAUUGGAACUGCUAUGUUGCCAUGGAUACUACACCAAAAAUUUCAAAAAUAUGGAAAUGCUCCAAAUUUUAUAAAACUUCACAGUAAUGAUGAGCAACAUUGGUAGAGGUGGAAUUUGGUGUUGCAAUUUCGAAAAUGUCUGCCGUUACCAUGGAAACAAUGCAAA
RNAcentral lists this long non-coding RNA (419 nucleotides) under Mytilus galloprovincialis (Mediterranean mussel). The record is from RNAcentral. Lineage: Eukaryota; Metazoa; Mollusca; Bivalvia; Mytilida; Mytilidae.